Molecule: ribosomal RNA, 468 nt
Filed under: uncultured bacterium
Lineage: Bacteria
Description: partial 16S ribosomal RNA
Rfam family: Bacterial small subunit ribosomal RNA
Source: RNAcentral
GACGAACGCUGGCGGCGUGCUUAACACAUGCAAGUCGAACGGAAAGGCCCUGCUUUUGUGGGGUGCUCGAGUGGCGCACGGGUGAGUAACACGUGUGUAACCUGCCCUUGACUUUGGGAUAACUUCAGGAAACUGGGGCUAAUACCGGAUAGGAGCUCCUGCUGCAUGGUGGGGGUUGGAAAGUUUCGGCGGUUGGGGAUGGACUCGCGGCUUAUCCGCUUGUUGGUGGGGUAGUGGCUUACCAAGGCUUUGACGGGUAGCCGGCCUGAGAGGGUGACCGGCCACAUGGGGACUGAGAUACGGCCCAGACUGCUACGGGAGGCAGCAGGGGGGAAUAUUGCACAAUGGGCGGAAGCCUGAUUCAGCAACGCCGCGUGCGGGAUGACGGCCUUCGGGUUGUAAACCGCUUUCGCCUGUGACGAAGCGUGAGUGACGGUAAUGGGUAAAGAAGCACCGGCUAACUACGUA